AGGACGAACGCUGGCGGCGUGCUUAACACAUGCAAGUCGAACGGAAAGGCCCUUCGGGGUACUCGAGUGGCGAACGGGUGAGUAACACGUGGGUGAUCUGCCCUGCACUUCGGGAUAAGCCUGGGAAACUGGGUCUAAUACCGGAUAUACCUCAUUGGUUGCAUGACUGGUGGGGGAAAGCUUUUGCGGUGUGGGAUGGGCCCGCGGCCUAUCAGCUUGUUGGUGGGGUGAUGGCCUACCAAGGCGUCGACGGGUAGCCGGCCUGAGAGGGUGUCCGGCCACACUGGGACUGAGAUACGGCCCAGACUCCUACGGGAGGCAGCAGUGGGGAAUAUUGCACAAUGGGCGCAAGCCUGAUGCAGCGACGCCGCGUGGGGGAUGACGGCCUCGGGUUGUAACCUCUUUCAGUAGGACGAAGCGCAAGUGACGGUACCUACAGAAGAAGCACCGGCCACUACGCGCCAGCAGCCGC
This 472-nucleotide ribosomal RNA is filed under the name uncultured bacterium. RNAcentral's name for it is "SSU rRNA". It matches the Rfam family "Bacterial small subunit ribosomal RNA", at positions 26 to 518 of the family's 1533-position model. The record is from RNAcentral.